This 87-nucleotide transfer RNA is filed under the name candidate division SR1 bacterium RAAC1_SR1_1. Its description in RNAcentral is "tRNA-Ser (GCT) (tRNA-Ser-GCT-1-1)". It matches the Rfam family "tRNA". Rfam says of the family: Transfer RNA (tRNA) molecules are approximately 80 nucleotides in length. Their secondary structure includes four short double-helical elements and three loops (D, anti-codon, and T loops). The record is from Rfam by way of RNAcentral. RNAcentral also lists the same sequence under 1 other name. Lineage: Bacteria; Candidatus Absconditibacteriota.
GGUGAGGUGGAUGAGUGGCCGAAAUCAACUCACUGCUAACGAGUCAGACGAGUAAUCGUCUCGCGGGUUCGACUCCCGCCCUCACCG